This 244-nucleotide unclassified non-coding RNA is filed under the name Melitaea cinxia (Glanville fritillary). RNAcentral's name for it is "misc RNA ENSMCXG00005006646.1". The record is from RNAcentral. Lineage: Eukaryota; Metazoa; Arthropoda; Insecta; Lepidoptera; Nymphalidae.
AGUACAUUUAUCUUAAACAUUGCAAAGUAUGUUUAACAUAAAACCGUUUAACUUAAAAAGUUUUUUUACCUAUUUUUAUUUUCUAGUUUUUAGUUUUUAUUUCGCAUUCUGUUUAAUUCAUUUAGUGCUUCAUUAUUGCAAGGCCCAUCUUAAAUAUUGAGGUUGUAUAGUGCACUUGCUUCAUUUUUGCAAGGCCCAUCUUAAAUAUUGAGGUUGUAUAGUGCACUGUAUUCUUCUUGUCAAG